GAUGAACGCUGGCGGCGUGCUUAACACAUGCAAGUCGAACGAAGAUGCCGGAGUGCUUGCACUUUGGCAGACUGAGUGGCGGACGGGUGAGUAACGCGUGGGUAACCUGCCUUAUACAGGGGGAUAACAGUUGGAAACGACUGCUAAUACCGCAUAAGCGCACGGUAUCGCAUGAUACAGUGUGAAAAACUCCGGUGGUAUAAGAUGGACCCGCGUCUGAUUAGCUAGUUGGCGGGGUAACGGCCCACCAAAGCGACGAUCAGUAGCCGACCUGAGAGGGUGACCGGCCACAUUGGGACUGAGACACGGCCCAAACUCCUACGGGAGGCAGCAGUGGGGAAUAUUGCACAAUGGGGGAAACCCUGAUGCAGCGACGCCGCGUGAGCGAAGAAGUAUUCGGUAUGUAAAAGCUCUAAUCAGCAGGGAAGAAAAUGACGGUACCUGACUAAGAAGCAACCGGCUAAAAUACGUAG
This 473-nucleotide ribosomal RNA is filed under the name uncultured bacterium. RNAcentral describes it as "bacterial SSU rRNA". It matches the Rfam family "Bacterial small subunit ribosomal RNA", at positions 28 to 508 of the family's 1533-position model. The record is from RNAcentral.